Molecule: ribosomal RNA, 117 nt
Filed under: Pseudomonas sp. ATCC 13867
Lineage: Bacteria; Pseudomonadati; Pseudomonadota; Gammaproteobacteria; Pseudomonadales; Pseudomonadaceae
Source: RNAcentral
CUUGACGACCAUAGAGCGUUGGAACCACCUGAUCCCAUCCCGAACUCCAGUAGUGAAACGAUGCAUCGCCGAUGGUAGUGUGGGGUUUCCCCAUGUGAGAGUAGGUCAUCGUCAAGC